GUGGGUAGUUUGACUGGGGCGGUCUCCUCCUAAAGAGUAACGGAGGAGCACGAAGGUUGGCUAAUCCUGGUCGGACAUCAGGAGGUUAGUGCAAUGGCAUAAGCCAGCUUGACUGCGAGCGUGACGGCGCGAGCAGGUGCGAAAGCAGGUCAUAGUGAUCCGGUGGUUCUGAAUGGAAGGGCCAUCGCUCAACGGAUAAAAGGUACUCCGGGGAUAACAGGCUGAUACCGCCCAAGAGUUCAUAUCGACGGCGGUGUUUGGCACCUCGAUGUCGGCUCAUCACAUCCUGGGGCUGAAGUAGGUCCCAAGGGUAUGGCUGUUCGCCAUUUAAAGUGGUACGCGAGCUGGGUUUAGAACGUCGUGAGACAGUUCGGUCCCUAUCUGCCGUGGGCGCUGGAGAACUGAGGGGGGCUGCUCCUAGUACGAGAGGACCGGAGUGGACGCAUCACUGGUGUUCGGGUUGUCAUGCCAAUGGCACUGCCCGGUAGCUAAAUGCGGAAGAGAUAAGUGCUGAAAGCAUCUAAGCACGAAACUUGCCCCGAGAUGAGUUCUCCCUGAGACUUAAAGUCUCCUGAAGGAACGUUGAAGACGACGACGUUGAUAGGCCGGGUGUGUAAGCGCAGCGAUGCGUUGAGCUAACCGGUACUAAUGAACCGUGAGGCUUAACCUUACAAC
RNAcentral lists this ribosomal RNA (675 nucleotides) under Salmonella enterica subsp. enterica serovar Enteritidis. Its description in RNAcentral is "partial 23S ribosomal RNA". It matches the Rfam family "Bacterial large subunit ribosomal RNA", at positions 2261 to 2925 of the family's 2925-position model. The record is from RNAcentral. Lineage: Bacteria; Pseudomonadati; Pseudomonadota; Gammaproteobacteria; Enterobacterales; Enterobacteriaceae.